CCCCGGCGACUGGCUGAGCGCAGCGUCGGCCCCGCCCCGGCCCCGCCCGGGGCCCCCCCUUAUUGAGCCGGAGGCCCAUCAAUCAGCCUCGCCGCUGCCAGUCCUCGGGCGGCUCCCCGCGCCCGCAGGCGGCUGCCACUGCCAUUGCAGCUCCCGGCUCCGGACGCGGACGGUUGCCUCUCCCUCUGCCCCCCCAGGAUGGCCCAGCCCGGGUGAGCUUGCAGGAUUCAACAUUGGCAGAAGGGAACACAGUCCAAAACUUGGAAGAUCAGACCCUACAGAGGAAACAAGGCCAGGAGGUGGUCUGGGGUGCGUUGUCACAGGAGCCAGGACUGGAUAGGCAGAAAAGACAGUCCAUCCACACCAGAAGGUUCUCAUUCUGAAGAGAUAGGAGAGUGACCUGUGGGAUUUUUUUUGAAGCGCAGCUGGCUGGGAACUGCUGGAGGACUCAGUCCCCUCAUCUCCCGCCCACUGGGACACCCAUUGGAUGGCAUGCAGUGGAUACCAGGGAAGGAGGCUGUGGACCUGCUCUGAGGGCCUGGGAUAAGGCAGAAUCCUCACUCCCCUGCACAUGAAGAUCAUUCCAAGAACAUUUAAAAUAAGUGUGAUUUUCUGAGCCCGACCCUAGAUCAGUUAAAUCAGGAUCUCUUCUGGGAAGUCUGUCGUCCUAACUGAAGUGCAAGUCAGGAGAGCAGAAUGUGUCAAAGGAAAAGGAGGUGGUGUGUCCUGAGUGUUCAGGGGAAGGGGCUCAGGACAGGGGCUGGAGAAGGGUGUGGAUGGAGACCAUGGCAACCAACAGGUUACCUGUAGACAGCAAUAAGGAUUUUCAUUCCAGAAAGACUCACACUGACUGCAGCGUUGUCCGGCUCUGCCUCCUUUGCUGUGCUGUCGUUCCAGUGGAACGUCUCUAUUCUUAGUUUCAGCGCAGGUAAACUACCACAAACUGGGUGUUCAAGCAACUGAAUUUCAUCAGCAUCUCAUAGCUCUGGAGGCUGGAAGUCCAAGAUCACGGCAUCAGCAGGAACCCUCAUCAUCCUUUUAGGUGCUUGUGGCCGAUCCUAGCUGCAUCCACUAAUAACAGGGGACCCCGCUCCAUUCUCCAGCCACCCUUCCACUUGAUGAGUCAUGUGACUAAUUCUGGAUGGUGGAUGAGCAAGACGUGUGUCCCUUCCAGACCGAGGUGUCCACUAGACACAUUCUGCUCUCCAUCUGCCAUCCGACUCAGUCCAGAAGAUGGCAGAGUCUCAAGUUGGACACAGUCCAGGCCCCUCUCAAGGGGCCUGGAGGACAGCCACUCCGAGAAGGGCUGCAGAGAGGAGUACAUGACCACAUGGCCCUGGGAAGCCAUGCAGGACCCAUCAGGCAAAGGAGAGGAAAUUCUGCUUUUCAUUCUACAGGAUGGAAAACAAACAUUGAUUAGUGGAUCUUUAUGGCAAAUGUGGACAGAGUGUUUGGGAGAAGAUGCAGAUAUCUAUUUGUAGUCUCCUGUACUAACACAGUAGAGUCAUGCUGUGUGCUCUUCACCAGUUGAUGAACAAAUAAUUUAUGUUUUAUAAUCUAAACUGUCAGAGUUUCCUUUAUGUAAUGACUAUAGACUAUACACAGCUACCUUUGUGGAACCUAAAAACAUCAUUGCUUCAGGCAAGAUGUAAUUUGCAAUAAAUAAUUUAGCAACAUACCUCUCUUCAUUCUAUUUACAGUAAGUUAAGAUUCAUCUCCAUGGCUGAUGUGAAGCACCCAUGAGUGGAUGGCAAAACCCAAAUAUAUCUCCCGUGUAACCCGAUUCAUGCUGAAAGGGCUCCAGGAAUUCCAAAGAUACUGCAGAGCUUGGAAUUCUUUCUGCCCUCCAAGUCAACAUA
Molecule: long non-coding RNA, 1859 nt
Organism: Cervus elaphus (red deer)
Lineage: Eukaryota; Metazoa; Chordata; Mammalia; Artiodactyla; Cervidae
Exons: 6
Source: RefSeq, a predicted model, not a curated record